UGAAAUCGGUAGGGUCUUGCGGAGUAAGCCUCGUCAAACUAAAUACGAGUGGAAAAAAUUACAUGAUAGCCUUGAGUCUGAAUUGAGAAGCGGUGGUGCCCUUUCAGAUAUUAUGAGAGUGUUUUCUGCAAGUUACAAGGAUUUACCUUACCAUCUCAAGUAUUGCUUCUUAUACAUGAGUAUUUUUCCUGAGAAUAAUCCAGUUAAGCGAAGAAGACUGAUUCGGCUAUGGAUAGCUGAGGGAUUUGUAACAGAGGAGAGAGGCAAGACUCUUGAAGAGGUGGGGGAAGAGUACCUGAAUGAGCUUAUUGGCAGGAGUCUGAUAAAGGCAAAUGAAAUGGACUUUGAUGGAAGGCCAAUAACUGUUGGAGUCCAUAGUCUCAUGCAUAGGAUAAUUCUCUCAGUUUCACAAGAGGAGAACUUCUGUACUGUUUGUGCAGGACCAGAAGGAAACUUGACUGACAAACCCCGGCGCCUAUCCAUCCAGACGGGAAACUUUGAUGUGUCUCAGGACUUAACCUGUGUUCGAACUUUUUUCAGUUUCAGUACAGGUAGGAUAAACAUUGGUUCGAAUUUCAAACUAUUGAAGGUUUUGGACAUACAAAGCACUCCUUUGGGAAACUUUCCAAGUGCCAUUACAGAUCUUGUGCUCUUGAGGUACUUGAGUUUGAGGAAUACAAAUAUAAGGAGCAUCCCCAAAUCCCUCAGGAACCUACGGCACCUUGAGACCUUGGAUCUUAAGCAGACUUUGGUAACAAAGGUACCCAAAGCAGUCCUACAAUUGGAGAAACUUCGCCAUCUGCUGGUUUAUUGCUACAAUAUGGAAAGUGCACCUUUUGAUAUUGUUCAGGGGUUCAAGGCACCAAAGGGGAUCGACGCAUUGAAGAACCUACAAAAGCUAUCAUUUGUAAAGGCGAGUGGGCAGCACAGAAUGAUACAAGGGCUCGACAAUCUUACGCAGUUGAGGAAGCUGGGCAUUGUAGAACUAGCAGAAGAACAUGGGGCGAGUUUGUGCCUCUCAAUUGAAAAGAUGCCAAAUCUCCACUCCUUGAAUGUAACCUCCCUUAAUAAGGAGGAGCUUCUGGAGCUUGAUGCAAUGACCAAUCCACCGCCCCUUCUUCAACGCUUGUACCUCAGAGGGCCGUUGGAAAGGUUUCCACGGUGGGUAUCUUCUCUACAUGACCUGGAGAGAAUACGCCUAAAAUGGUCUUCACUCACAGAAAACCCGAUUGGAGCUCUUCAAAACCUCCCAAAUCUGACAGAGUUGCAGUUGCUUGAUGCAUACACUGGAACCCAGUUGGACUUCAACUCGGGAAAAUUUCAGAACCUUAAGAUAUUAGACCUUGAGCAAUUGAAACAACUGAGGUUUAUCAUAAUGGAAGAUGGCACAUUGCCUUGCCUACAAAAGCUGAUCAUAAGGCAAUGCAAUGAGCUGGAACAUGUCCCCGUAGGUAUUGACGGGCUCCAUCAUCUCAAUGAGUUGCACCUCUGCGAUAUGCCUGAGAAAUUGGUGGCCCAGCUGAAGAAAAACGGUGGUCAAUUUCGCCAUUUGGUUCACCAUAUUCCGUAUAUUCAUUCAUAUAACCAGGGCCAGUUGGAAGAUCUUUCUUGAUCAUUAUACAUCUAUGAGGAAGAAUCAGGUCUGUAGAGCAACCUGAAUUCAUCAUUUCCUUCUUCUAGGUUACCCAAAACGUCCUCUUGGAUUGCUAUUUCUUUACUAGGAUUGCUGCAUUUUCCUAGGAAACUAUGUAUGGUGCAGUUGAGUAUGUUUAGUGUUUUUUUAAUUUUUAAUUUUUAGCUUUCCAAGUAAUAUGCUCAGCAUACAAUUCCAUAUUGAUCUAAAAUUAGCAUGAUGGGUCUAUAUGAAGAUAAUUUGCAAGGAAUAUUGGUUGUGUUUGAAAAUAGUUUUAUAUUCUUUACAAAGAUAACAGUUUUUUAACUUAAAAAACGCUUUCAUCUUCAUUGCAUGAUGGGUUUAUCUAAAGAUCUCUCAAGUCAAACAUCAAUUUGCAAGGAAUACCGGUCAUGUUUGAAAAUAGUUUUAUAUUCUUUCAAAAAGAUAAAUUAAACACUGCAAGUUUAAAAAAUAAUUUGUUUUUUAUAUCUUUAAGAAUUAUUUUUGAAAAAAAAAUCUCUAAAUCUUAAAACACCGCUUUAGCUUAAAGAUGACUUUUAGAAAAUUUUACAACUUUUCCUAAUAAAGUUUGGUUUAGUUCCAAGAGUAUAUAUAUAUAUAUAUAUAUAUAUAUAUAUUCUUCAUAAUGCUUUUAGAAAGUAUUUUUAAUAUAAAAAACGUUUUUCUAAAAAAAUUAAAAUGUUUCACGAAAUUCAGAAAUCACUUUUAAAAAAUUAAAGAAUUGCUUAUAGUACUUUUUUUUAUAAAUGUUUCAUAGAUGAUUUUUCUAAAAACUCUUUUGAAAAAAACAUUAAAGUAAAAAUGCUUUUGAUAAAAAUAUUAUCAAACAGCUCUAAUUCCUUAUGCUUGAAGCUUCUAAUGCAACUCAUCGAAAGUAUUUUCCAUCUGACUUCUCUACAAAAUGUUUCUUUAAACUUAAAACUAAAAAUCACAUUUUAAAAAAAAUAAUAAUUUCGUGACAUGUAUAGGAUAUGGGAGUUUUGUUCUAACACUAGGUUAAAGUUAAGAAUGCAAAAAAACCCUAACCACCAAAUCAAAUUUAAAUCUUGAUUAAAAAAAAAAACCCUUAAAAUAAAUUUGCUCUACUCUGUCUCCUCCCUCUUACAUUUCUGGCUCCGCCAUUGUUCCACCCUCUCCCUCAUCCUAUAGAUGUACCACUGUAGUAUCUUUGGCAGAGGCUAACUUGAAAAGUAAGAGAGAAGGCUUUUUUUUAAAGGACACUUCUCCACUUGUUUGCCCAAUCAGAAUUUGGUUCUCAUAUCAUUUUUACACAAAUAGUCGUUCCGAGAUUAAAUUUUUCUCAUCUCUUCCUAAUAUCUUUCCAUAAACUCACCCCAAGAGUCUCUGUCACCUCUAGAGUACUCCACCCCCAUCCAUCUCCCCAAAAUUUACCUUGGAUGAUCUUCUUCCACAAACUAUCAUGCUUAUGAGCAAACCUCAACCACCAUUCCUAAUAAGGCCUGGCUUCUAAUUUGGAUCCUCCAAACUUCUCAUCCUUACAAACCAUCAUCUGGCUCAUUAAAAGUACUUUCUGAAGUCCUCCAUAAAAGCCUCUUUGAAUUUUUCAUUCUAAUUAUCACUUGCCAAAGCAUUGGAAAUAGGUCAUGAAAUAUAUUGAAAAACCCAAGAGGGUACCCUUUAUAAGGAUUAAUCUUCCCACCCCACCUAGGUAAAUUUUUUGGGAACUCACCCGUAAGAAAUCUCCAUCAAGCUUGUGCUCGGUGGAAGGUUAAACCUUGGUGCUAGGUGUCUUUCGCUAAGAAAUCGUUUUGAAUAUGUUAGUUUUUAGUUGUAUGGUUAACUAAUGUUGUUCAUUAUUAGGAUAAUUGAAACUGGUAUUCUAUGGAGGGCAUAAAUUAGUAAUAGAUUUAUGAGAAAACUUGGAAUUUCUCUAGUUUCUUUUCUGACAUGCUGCAUGUAAAUGACACAAAGGUUAGCAUAAAUUGCCUUGAGGUAGCAGUCAAGUGAUCCUAUAAGUACCACAAAUACCUGUGAGCUUGGAAAUAAUCGAAGUCUUCCCAAUUGAGAUGACCCUAGGUUCCAAUACAUUAAUACUGAUUUUCUUGAGUUGUGUAUGAUGCUUCUUUUCAUGUUAUUUACGGCAUUGACUCCUGGACUCUCUUGUACAUGCUAGUGGCAUUCAUUAGAAGUUAAGACCACUGUUUUCCAGGGCUUUCGAGCAACAGCAAUAUGGAGGUGGAAUUUUCCUAUGGUACAAGUUUGGAAUAAAUAUCAAUGGGUUCAAGACAAAUUUGAGAAUUUUUUGUGAACCCAAAGCGGGUUUGGAUACGAUGUUGUCCCAUCCCAAAUUAUAUGUAAUAUUAAAUAAAAAUGAUUUUAAUUUAUUUUUAACUUUUUUAACAUAUAUAAAUUUUAUUUUUUUAUAAAAAUAAAUUAUAAAUAUUUAUAAUAUUAAUUUAUUUAUUUGUAAACUAUAUUUAUUUUUAAUAUAAUUUAAAAGUAAAAGUUUUAAAAUUUAUAUGUAAUAUUAAAUAAAAAUGAUUUUAAUUUAUUUUUAACUUUUUUAACAUAUAUAAAUUAUAUUUUUUAUAAAAAUAAAUUAUAAAUAUUUAUAAUAUUAAUUUAUUUAUUUGUAAACUAUAUUUAUUUUUAAUAUAAUUUAAAAGUAAAAGUUUUAAAAAAGAAAUUAAGAAAAGAUAAAUAAAUUGACAAAGUGAAUAUGAAAAUUUCCUAAACGUUAUUUAUUUAUUUAUUUUUCUAUUUUGUGGAGAUGAAAUAUAUAUAAAUAAAUAAGACGAGAUUAGGAUAUGAGUGAACGUCUUAAACCUACCUGUUAUCAUCCAUAACCUAGAAGACUGAGUCCAAUGUUGAUUUUUAAGAUCCGUUUUUGGGUCUGGGUUUGCAGAAAAAACAAAAGACCUAACGAUUUAUUCGUUUGGCCUACAUGAAGUUGAUGAAUGUAACACCUUAACUUGGAACAUGACAGAUCCAUCAAACUCAGUCAAUCUCCACCGUAUAAAUUUUAAAAAAUCACAACAAUUUGGAAUUUUCAACCAUUGAAUUUUCAAAGAUAGAAUAAUUUUAUAUUGUUCCGAGGCCGAUGCUAAAGGGUUACAUAGAACUUUCAAAAUAUCUUUUUUCCCGAGAGAAAAUAUUUUGAAUAUAUUUGGUCCCCAAAACAUUUAAGGGUACUGUGGAUCCCACAUUUCGGCUUAAUGCGUUUCUCACUCGAUGGCGAGCUCGAUUUUUAUUUGAAAAAUUGAUUUUUUAUUGAUUAUUUGAAAAUGACUUGGAGUCGCCACUUAUUUUUGUUUUAUUUUUAAAGAGUAAACAAAAUAAGAAAGAAAAACUCUAAGUGUGACUCCUUAUUUUGGAAAAGACGGUCUAUGAAAAACCGGAUCGAGUUCGGGGGUCAGGUUAUUUAUCGGGAAGGUACGGUAAAGACCGUAGCACCCCUCUAAGUCUUUAAAGUCGGGUCUCUACUAAUGAGAUGAAGCUGACAUGACAAUCAAUGAGAAAAUCAAUGAAUAUUCGAAUCAAUCAUGCACAUAUAAGUAUCAGAAUAUGCAAUAGAGGAUAACCGAAGUGGAAGUGGAUGCGUACCUGAUCAGCAAACGGCAACGCGCUAUCACAAAAUGGGAUUAGUGCAUAGUAAUGAACACAAAGUAUAUCACUCAUAUCACCCAACCAGAUAAAGAAGCACCAAUAUCAUGUAUGACAUUUCAUUCAAUUCCAUUUUUAUUUUAAAGGAAAUUUAUUUGAUGUCGGGCCCCCACCAUAGCCCGUUUUAUUUUGCAUGAACUAAUUCCAUAAAUUCCAUAAUUUGGAAUUACGAAAUUUGAUUCUUGCUUAUUUUUAAAACAUUUUAAAAACAAAACUAAGGAAAAUAUGAAAAUUGCAUGCCAGAGAGAAAAAAGGUAGCAAAAUUUUAUUAAAAAUAGGACUCUUGGUGAUCCUAAAAAUUCUAAGGAUGAAACAUGAGGGAGUUGGGAUUAUUUAAGAAACAUAAAAACCUGAAAAUUAUUUGAAGAAAAAGAUGUUGGAAAGUUAUUUUAAAAAAAACAAAGAUGAGAAAAUGGGAUAAUGGCACGUGGCUCUAAGAUAGCAUGCCAAAGGUGGCCAUGCAAAACUUACCUCUGAGGUUUGACUGGAUGCAGACAUCCCACUGCAGUUACUGCAUCCCGAAGAUAUGACACGUGUCUAAAAUUGAGAGACUCCGCUCCUUUGCUUCCUAACAAAAACUACCUCGAGAUGCAUAUAGACAACCCCAGAGACCAUAUCAUAGUCCACAUGACCUUCUUUGCCUGCUAUCACCUCUACACAUGCCACCUCAUCCUCCUCUGUCUUGUGAGUUAACAUGGAACCUGGAAUCACUUCAUCAAUAGCUCAGACGCCAGCUUUGUUCUGAGCAUGAACUUCAUCUUUUGUUUCUCGAGAACACGCUGAAAUUGCCUUUCCAUGCUUGGAGCAAUGUCUGGAACAAUGUAUUUAUAUCCCAUGGAAUUGCUUAAAAUCAUUCAGCAUUUCCAAGUCAACUAGUCUCAUUGACAGAAGAAGUUGGUGCAGGCUGGAUGUUAAGGAAAUGGUGAUAUGCACCUCAUGAUAAGGCUUAGGAAGAAUGCUGGAGGAUGCACGCACGUGGGAGAAUAUGGGAUGGGUGAGUGGAAAAUGAAUAGUGGAGGAUGAAUGAUGGACUUAAUGGAUAUUGAAGGGUGUAAACCUAGAGAGAGAAGUGGGUUUAUUGACGUAGCUAGGUGAAUGGUGGGGGUAAUAGGAUGCAGAGAUCAAGAAGCAGGAAUAGCUUGAUUUUCUUUGCUGAAGAACCAGUCAACUUGAUGGAGGAGACGAUCCCACAUAAAAAUAAAGGGCAUGAAAUAACCCAGGUGGGUCCACCGUUCUUGAUGAGACGUCAUUGUUGAGCAAAGAUAAAGUGCCUGUCUCACAUGGAGCUCAUGACCACAACCUUCAGCAGCCAAUGAACAUACUCUCCCAAAGCAGGCAGCAUAAAUACUAGCAAUGGUUCAGACCAAUGAUGGAUCCACGUUGUUCCCCUUGAGAAAAUCAAGAACCCUCCAUUUGCAGCCUCCAAUAUGGAACACGUCCGAGUAGAGCUUCCGGAUAUUCAAUCCAGAAAAGUUCUCAAUUGUCAACGCAAACCUGGUCGACAAGGGAUCUUCUACAGUCUGCGCAUCCACUAUACUAGCAGUAUCUGAUCGCGCCACUUCCAUGGGCUGGGGACCGUCGGCGGGGUCGGUGUGCAAAACAAACAUUUCAUUGUCUUCAUCUAAGGGCGGAAGAGUCAUGAGAGUCCUUAGUGGACAGGAAUGGCCGUCUGAUCGGCAUAUUUGAGACAUGAACUAGAGAGAGAGAGAGCCAGGGAGAAGCAGCCUUUGCAACUUAAACACAAAGGAACUAGUGCUAGCAUAAAUGCCAAAAAUUCCAAUAUUGUUGAAGAUAUUAUCGAACCCAGAGAAAGAUUGGAGCUGCUGAUACUCAUUCAAGAUACCGAGAUAUAACCGCGAGUGCAAUCCUAUCCUAUGACUUCCCUUUAGAAUCAUUUCCACGUAAACACCUUGAUUAUAUAUUAAGCUUCCAUCAGGUAAAUGUACCUGAAGUGAUUUUGUAUCUUUUGAAGGCUAGGUACAGCACGUCAUGUCUUGGGGGUGCAUGAAUCAAAUUCUUCCAGGAAGCAUUAGCCGGACCACGUGAAACAUCAAAGGCUGCACAUAACUCCAUCCCAGACAGCUUUGCCUUGCUGCUUGACAUAGGGUCAAACCCACCUCAACGUUCAUGAUCUUAAUGAACUUGAAUGAUUAACAAUCCCAUAUCCCGAAUCUGAGAUUUCUGGACCAGCUGAUCAAGAGCUCGCAGCAUGACUUUCGAUGCAAAUUCAGCAUCACAGUCAUCUCCUCCAUAAAACUCUUGGCAAGUUUUCUGUCAACACGGGUUGGGAGUUUCCCAUCAGCUUGGGGAUUUCCUAGCUGCCCAUAAACAGGACUUCCCAUUGUAACCCGGAAGACCCGUAUCAACAUUUGAUCCCUUGGAAUGCGCACAUGAUCAAAUCUUAAAACUCCAUUGUCCAUGUUGUAAUAUCCUCCAUUUCCAAAUUCAUACCAAUAUCACCGAUAGUUAUGCCCAAAAAAGGUAAAUGAUCAUCCAUACAUAUCACCCUGCAUAUUGCUAAUCUCUGUUCAGUGUAGCGCAGGGCCAACAUAGCCAGCAGUUGCCUGGUAGAGUGCAAGUCCAGGGUAAACAAUGGCUUCUUGGGAACCAAGAUCUUCAUUCACAAGAACCCAAUGACCAUGAAAGUCUCGUACAAUGUAAAGCCUUCUUUAUGAUGGGAAAUAGCAGAACGAUGGAGAGAACGGGCCUCAAUGCAUCUCACUCACGAGUCAUUAUAGCCAAGUGUUGAAGUAGAGCAUGCCCUGAUAGCCAGGGGGGUGAUUUGGACCAGAAAUUCCAACCUAGAUUUCUCCAGGGAAGUGCAGACUGCAGUAUCCUCUCUCCUCUUUCAAAGGUAUCUCUUCUCUCAAAACCCAUAUAAGGCACAGGAUCCAGUAACAGAGGUGGCCUCAACCAUAAAAAAAAAUGCAUGAAAACAGAGCACAAAGGGAAACAAAUAAAAAGGUCAUCAAAGGAAGAUUCACAUCAUGAGUCAUCAGUGAACCUUCCUAUUAGGUGAGGAAAAACAGCAUCAAAUGCAAAUAUUGGUGGGGUUCUCGGGCAUUUCAUAGUCACAAAUAGAAAUAGAACAUAUUAAGAUUGACAAUGCAGGUAUGAAUUCAGGAUUAUAUCUCAACAAGCAACAAGUGGCUUCAUUAUCCACCCCAAGCAAAACAACAAAUAUCCAAAUAUCAACAAGCAAUGCAGAGGGAUAGCAAGGAUCCAAAUCAAACAAUAAACCUAUUGCCUUCAUACCUGAGAAUGUCCUUCUCCAGUGAGGCUCUCUUCUUCUACAAACACCUCAAGUUCCCCUUUAAAAUCAACAAAACUAAUGAGACAGCAGCACCUCUUCUACUCGCCAAACGCACAGCUCUCUUGCCUCAAACUUGCCUCCCCAGCCAAACUUCCCCCCUCUGAAAAUAUCUCUCAGACCUGCAUCCAAAAGCCCCCUCUCUCUCUCAUCCGCUCCUCCUCUCUGCCAGAAAACAGCAGUCCAAAAAAGCACCACUACCUCUCACAGUUUGCUGCUCCUAGCUCCAGGGAUCCUCCCCCUCUCUUGGAAACUUCUUCAAACCUCUUCCCCUCUCCUUGCAGAAACAGCCAAAAGCACCCUCUUCACCUGCAGGAGAAGCUCCCCCUCUAACAGACUCUGAACGCCCCCUGCAUAUCCUCCUCCAGGUGUCGCCUCCUGAUAGCUCUUCAAAAAGCAAUAUCUGAUUCCAUAGCAGCCAAUUAAAGGACGCCAUGUGGUCUCCUGGGGUUGCGACACUUGGCAAAACAAGCUGCAUGAAAAGUGCAUGAAACCGAGUCCCAAAAUGGGGGUCUACAGGUACACAUAGGGAAAAAAAUAUGAAAGAAAGAAAAAGUAAAGAAAAAAAAUAGAUUUAAAAUCAAUAAAUUAUUUUUAUAUAUUUCUUUAAAUUAAUUUUACUAUUUAUUUUCCUAAAUUAAAUCAUUUUAAAAUACAUAAAUUUCUAAUUAAUUUUUAUUAUAUUUGAUUUUCUUUUGUAUAUUCUUUUUAUAGUGAAAUUAAACAUAAGAAAAUCCGUUUUAUUAAUUUUUUUAUCUUUUACUUUCCAAGAACCUAAACUAGUACUAAGAAGCUAUAGCCCAGGUUUGAAAUAUUGCUAAAUACGGAUAUAUUGAUACUUGAAUUUUAUUUUACAGAUGUAGAAGAGAAAUAUCGAUGGAUAUUUUGACAAAAAUAUCGGUAAAAGUAAAAAUUAUUUAAAAUUCAUGAAAAUAUUUGAAAAAACUCUAAUAAAAAUUCAUAUUUUAAAGUUAGUUUUGUAAAUGUAAUUUACAUAGAUACUGUUAUGAAGAAAAAUAUCUAUAUGGAAUGAUAUAUCGGUUUUAAUAUAUAAUUUAUUAUUUAAAAUCAAAGAAUAAGGAAAUAAGAAGGAUAAUACUAUGCACAUACACACAUGUGCUUUUUUUUUUUUUUUUUUUUUACAUAUAUACAAAAUGUACAUGCUCUGAACGCAAACCAAGAAGCCCCAAAGACGAGGUCAAAAAUGGACAAACAUGCUCUCAAACGUCAAUGUAAUAUAAACUCUCUCUGAUGAUGUGACCUUCUCAAACUAAGGAUUCCUGGAUCAACGUCCGUAGGAUAGAUAGUGGAAAAUGACAUGACUACCCUCUAUGUAAUGAACUGAGGAUGAUCACCACUCGAGGUGGGAGAAGAUGAAGUGGAACAAACGAUAGAUAUAAUAAAGAAGCGGAUGAAGAACCAACGAGAUGUGAUGAAAUGCAAUGACGCAAUGAUAGGAAAAGAUAAUGAGAAAGAUGUGCCCCUUGGUCCAAGGUUCAUGAAACUCCUAAACAAUGCAUGCAUACACUGAAGGGCCCCUAUCCCGGUGUAGAAGGUGAGCAAGGCUAUAAGAAAUAAAAGGUUAUGAUGCUCAUGCGAGGCUCAAAGGGCUAGCAAUGGUCUAGAUGUCAAUAAAGGUAAUAGGGUGUGAGUUAACCGAAAUGAAGGUCACCCAUCCUGCGACCACAGUCUCAAACAUCGUGCUAUCAAGCCCUCAAAUGAUCAAUACUAAAGAUCGAUGUCCAUCUGAUAUAACCACGUCAACCCUCUAGAAUCAUGCACCAACCGUACUCCAAAUGCUCCAUAAUAAUCUCAAAGAUGAUCCUCUCAAAGCAAAGUGAACGGUGAUCUCAUCAGGCACGACUGCCUAUCACAAGCCAACCCUCAUCAUACAAGAUCAAUCUCUAUACUCAUGGCAAAAUAAGUGACAGUCUCAUCAAGCAACCGACCAAUCCUCAUAUCGUAAACCAUCCAAAGAUCAUAAGCUAUCCCUCGCCAUGCAAGAACAACCCUGGGCUCAAACUCCUCACACUCUACUUGGUCGGAUCAGAGAGGGGAUGUGCAAAGCUAGAAAAGCCGAGGAUGGAAAGGUCAUAUAAUGGUAUCAAGGGUGAUGUUGUGCAAAGCUCAUAAUGGAUGGAUGUAGGUCAAAACAGAGUCAAGGUGUGGGAAGUGAGCAAGGUACUGCUCUGAUCAUAAGAAGAUGUGUCACAAUCUCGAACUCCCUAAGUCAAAUCUCUGAUCCUAGGCUAAUAGGCUCAAUAUCCUCCAUGACAGGUCAAGCCUCAAGACCACAAUGUGCAAGUGAAGAGAUGCCUCAAGUCAAAAGUACAACACAUCAUAUCACAAAACACAAGCAUAUGUCCAUAAAGGAAAAUGCAUCCAAUGGGAUAAUCGAUGAGUACAUCAUGCAAAAGAAGGAUAAUAAAGACAAUACUCAAGAAACGAGUUAUAGUCUCUAAAUGUCAAAAGCAAAACAAGAUUAAACAAACAAAAACAAAAACAGUGACUGGUCCUGUCAUCACAUCUCUGGCCACAAAAGGAACAAAAUUUGAGCGCCACUGUACCAAGGCAAGCCAAUCAUGAGUCAAUCGCCCAAAUCAAUAAGAUCAGGGACUGCUGGUGAAGGAGCGUCUACAUGCAUGGCCAGAGCUGAGAUAGGAAUAGGAAACAUAUCAGACUGAAGAUGCCCAAACGUCCCAGAAUCAACAAUGUCAUGUAUGGCAUGUUUGAAGAGCAUAGCAUCCUUGUUUCAGAUGAGAAUGUGAUCAAUGAUUAUACACUAAAGAUUCAUAUAAGUUUUGAUGUGGAAAAUGGACUAAAAGCUGCCGAGUAUAUUCAUAAUGCUAUAUCAAAGUGGUUCCCACUUCGGCCAUGGUGUUUGACCUUGAAAAUUCUUCUAUAGCAGUGAGAAUUGAAUAAGACAUAUUCUGGCAGAAUUGGUUCUUAUGUCCUCUUUGCUAUACUUCAACCAGCAGAUGACCAAUGUGGCACUCAUAACCGUAGCCAAGAACUGCCCAAUUUUACACGCUUCAGGUUGUGCAUUCUGGACCCUACACAAACUGACCCAUUAACAUGCUCGCCACCACCUACAUAUUUUCUUAAUCGUCAAACAGCAAGCAAAGCUGUCCUCAAGCCGCCGGCGGCGAAACGCCUCCGCCAUCAUCAAAGCACCAGUCCAACCAUACCCAAAUUUCUUUCUUUGUUGCUUCCUGAUGUAAAAGCUCCUCCAUCCAUGCAUCUUAUGAAGGUAACAACAUCCCAUUAUCAAUCACGACUCAAGCAAAGCCAUUCCCGUCAUAGCCUUCAUUCUCUCUGCAUUCCUCAUACCCACUCCUCUCUAAACCUUCCCAUGCAUGCCACUACUCUGUUAAUACCCACAAACCCACUGCUCAUGGCCGAUACUCCCCUCAUUACCUUCCCUCACUCAUCCAUUCUGCCAUUAAGUGCACACUUUCUUUGGUAAGGCUGCUCACCUUGUUGACAACACCAACCACCAGGGCCACUUCCAAAAGGUGUUGACUGCCAUUGGGAACUUCUGUAUAUACUCCAUUGCGUUUGGCAUAAUAGUAGAAAUAGUGGUGAUGUACCCAAUUCAGAGAUGCAAGUACAGGGAUGGGAUCAAUAAUCUUUUGGUGUUUCUCAUUGGAGGAAUACCAAUAGCCAUGCCAACAGUGUUGUCAGUGACAAUGGCCAUAGGCUCUCACCGUCUGUCAAAGCAAGGUGCUAUCACAAAGAGGAUGACAGCAAUAGAAAAGAUGGCUGGAAUGGAUGUUCUUUGCAGUGACAAGACUGGGACUCUCACCUUCAACAAGCUUAUAGUGGACAAAAGCAUGAUUGAGAUAUUUUCAAAGGACGUGGACAGUGAUGUGGUGAUUCUGCUUGCGGCUAGGGCUUCCCGGGUUGAGAAUCAGGAUGCCAUUGAUGCCUGCAUUGUGAGAAUGUUGGCUAACCCCAGUGAGACAAGAUUCAGGGAACCAGGAUAAUGUCCAGAAUGAUGUCUUAUUGCAAAAUGCCUCUGAAUUUAGUAGUCAGGUUUAUCCACACAAGGGAGGGCCAAAUCUAAAAAUAGAUUCCUGUUCUACUAAUUCAUAGGAAGAAGAACUCCUAGUGCAAAUUCAAAGUUCUGAAUUUUUAUUGCUUCCCUACAAGGAAGAAACAUCAACUGUUGUAGAGAUCACAACAGGAUAAGUUGGGCCUUCAAUAGUUUCAGGCUCCAAUGAAGAGUUAUUGGAUUUUGAUAGCUGGUUUAUAAGGCUUCUCAUUCAUAUGACCACCCCGGGGUACCUCUGAUCAGUCCUCGCCCAUCAUCAGUUUCAGUAUACCGAUGAUCUCGCAGUAUUCAUCACUCCGGCUCCGUUGGGAUUUUAGAGAAGGCAUGCAACUGGUGUUCAAGGUGCACCAAGUUCAGAAUCCCACUCUGCAUGGCCUACAUGGCCGUCUUUGGGCCUUAUGUUCUUCUGUCAUUACUUCAUCUUUGUUUUCAAAAUAACUUCCUAAGCUCCAUCUUGCCUAUGAUCUUCCAAAUUUAAUUCUCCCAAAUAAUUUCCAUUCCUCCUUUUUCAUCCUUAUCAUUUUUCUUAGGCUUCAAAAACCCGAUUUUCAAUAAAACUUGGCCACCAUUUCCUUUCCGGCGAGCCACAUUUGAAUUUUCCGUGAUUUUUAUAAAAUGUUUUAAAAUAAGUGUGAAUUUAUUUUCGCAAUUCCAAGUGAUGGAAUUUGCGAAAUUAAUUCACUCAAAAUAAAAUGGGCUUUGGUGGGGGCCCGACAUCCAAUUAAUUUCCUUUAGAAUAAAAAUGGAAUUGAAAUAAUGUCACGCAUGAUAUUGGUGCUUCUUUAUCUGGUUAGGUGAUAUGAGUGACAUACUUUAUGUUCAUUACUAUGCACUAACCCCAUUUUGUCAUAGCGCGUUGCCGUUUGCUGAUCAGGUACGCAUUCACUUCCACUUUGGUUAUUCUCUAUGUAUAUUCUGAUACUCAUAUGUGCAUGAUCGAUUCGAGUAUUCCUUGAUUUUCUCAUUGAUUGUCAUGUUAGCUUCAUUUUAUUAGUAGAGACCCGACUUUAGGGACUUAAAGGAGUGCUACGGUCUUUACCGUACCUUCCCGAUAAGUAACCUGACCUCCGAACCCGAUCCGGUUUUUCACAGACCGUCUUUUUCAAAAUAAGGAGUCACACUUAGGGUUUUUCUUUCUUAUUUUGUUUACCCUUUAAAAAUAAAACAAAAAUAAGUGGCGACUCCAAGUCAUUUUCUUAACAAAUAAAAAUCAUUCUUCAAAUUAAAUAAAAAUCGAGCUCACCAUUGAAUGGGAAAUGCAUGAGCACGAAAUGCGGGGUCCACACUUAUCAAAUUAAUUUUAAUUUAUAAAAUAUUAAAACUUUAUUAUUAUCAUUAUUAUUUAUAUUUUAGUUUUUUAAAAUAAAUUUAUAUUUUUAAUAUUUUAUAUUAAAAACAUUCAAAAUUAAAAGGAUAAAUAUAAAAAAUUUAAAAGUGAAGUCAUAGUAAUUUUUUAGAAUAGAAUUAAUGAGAUAGAUUAUGAUACAUUUAAUAUUAAAACUAUAAUUUAUGUAAUUCAAAUAUAUUUAAUAAUAUGAAAUAAAUGAUAAUACAUAUAUGAUUUUUUUAAUAUUUAUAUUUUUUAUAUUUAAUUAUCAUAUAAAUAAUAUAAAAAAGACUUAUUAAAAAAAUUAUAAUAUUAAUUUUUAUAUUUUUAUUAAUCAAUUGAAUAUAAUUUAAAAUAAAAUAAUUAAAAUUAAGUUUUUUUUUAAUGAUGAACUUGAAUAUAUAUUAUCAAAGAGCAUCAUAGUUCAGUGGUAGCCGGGAUUGAAGCAAAGUCAAGGUUCAAAUCUCCCAUAAAAGUAAAUAAUCGAUAUUUCAAACAUUAAUCAAAAUAAAGAUAGAGAAUUAAUAAUUAUUUAUAUGGAGAGAGGAAAAUUGUUCUCAGGGCCACCCACUUCUCUCACUCGGGCAUCAAGAAGCUCUCUCCUGAAGUUGCCCUCCAGACGGGAGAAUCCAAAGGCCCUAUUUUCCUCUGCCACUCUCAAUCCUCGCAGGUACUAAUCUAUUCAUGUUAUUAUUAUUAUUAUUAUUUUUCUGCAAGCCCCGUUUGAUCCCCAAGAAAAUCCAUCCCCCAUUCGAUUUCCGGGAAAAUUCAUCCUCGUUUGAUUUCCGAGAAAAUCCAUGCAAAACCCCCAAAGAAAACCAAAAAAUUUGCUUUUUCUUUGCUCCCUGUGUUUUCUGGAUCUGUUCUAGGGGUCUCUUUGCUUUUGUGCCAUUGGAUUUAAAAAUUUCACGAACCCUAAAUCCACGAUUUUUGAGCCAGGCUGAAAAACACAACCUUUGCCUGCAAAUCCACGAUUUAAGAGUUAUAUUUAGUAUUUUUGCAGUCAAUGAAUGUGCCGCCACAUGUUUGAAUCAAAAAAAAAAAUUAACUUCUGCUAAAAUUCAUCAAAUAUUGGAACUUCAAAAACCAACAACUUGUUUUUGCCAAAGCAAAGGAUUGAAUAUUUCCUUGGUGGAUUUUUGGGAACGGAUCAUGCACCCACAAGAAAUCUCCAUCAAGCUUGAAGUUUUCUUAUUCGAAGGUUGAUCCUUAGUGCAUGGGGUCAUUCAAUAAGGUUAAUAAAUUGUCUGGAGGGAGCAGUAAAUGAUAACAUAUAGCCGUGUGCUUGGAAAUAUUCGAAGUCUUCCCAAUGGGGAAGACUCUAGGAUCCAAUACAAUCCUGGUUUUCUUGAUUUAUAUCUAAUGCUUGUGAUCGUAUUAUUUGUGGCAUUGACGCCUGAAGUCUUUUGGAAGUAUACUUGGAUGUGGCAUUCAUCAGUAGUUAAAAUCAUUGUUUUCAGGGCUCCUACGCCAAGCUUCCAAGCAACAUCAAGGUGAAGAGAAAGAGCAUGAACCCAGAUCUAGCUGGAGGGAUGGCAGACAGGGCUGUGUCGUUUCUUCUUCAAAAACUUGGAAGCUUUUGCAAGUAGAGAAUGGAACUUGCAGGAGAAUAUCAGGAAUGGAGUCCGUGAGUUACAAAGGGAGCUGUGGAGAAUAGAAGCCAUGAUGAGAGAUGCUGAUGCAAGGAAAGAUAUGAUAACCGAUUCAACGUGUGGAUUCAAGAAGUUCGCACAGAAGCUUAUGCCAUUGAGGAUGUUCUUGACCUGUUCAGACUCCACUGGGAUCAAGAAUCAGUGUGGCGCCACUUGAAAAUGUGGCACUCCAUUAGCAACCUGAUACAGGAUAUUAACACAAGGCUCGCGAUCAUUAGUGCGGAAACCAACACAUACCUUAAUGUGAGAGUAGUUCCUUUGAUCCCUGGCAGGGGCAACAACACUGUGGGCAUUGACAAGCCUAAAAGGAAGCUGGUUUCUUGGGCAUUGGAGUCGAAUCAGAAACUCAAGGUUAUGUUCAUGGUGGGAAUGGCUGGCUUGGGAAAGACAACGCUUGGCCACAGCGUGUACGAGGAGGUGAAGAUGUGUGGGAAUCCAUUAGACUUGCCUUGCCAGAUGGUAACGACAAUAGAAUAAUUAUCACUACAAGAAGAGGCGAUAUAUCUAAUUCUUUCAGAGAUGAUGAUUCUAUUGAUAUCCACAAGGUUCAGCCUCUGUCACCGCAUUGGGCUGAGCAACUCUUCUAUAAGAAAGCUUUCUCAGGAGUUGACUGAUGUCCUUCAGGUUUGGAGGAAGUCUCCAAAUCCAUCUUACAGAAAUGUGAUGAUUACCACCUGAGAUUAUUGAAAUCGGUAGGGUCUUGCGGAGUAAGCCUCGUCAAACAAAAUAUGAGUGGAAAAAAUUACAUGAUAGCCUUGAGUCUGAAUUGAGAAGCGGUGGUGCCCUUUCAGAUAUUAUGAGAGUGUUUUCUGCAAGUUACAAGGAUUUACCUUACCAUCUCAAGUAUUGCUUCUUAUAUAUGAGUAUUUUUCCUGAGAAUAAUCCAGUUAAGCAAAGAAGACUGAUUUGGCUAUGGAUAGCUGAGGGAUUUGUAACAGAGGAGAGAGGCAAGACUCUUGAAAGGUGGGGGAAGAGUAC
Molecule: long non-coding RNA, 16581 nt
Filed under: Vitis vinifera (wine grape)
Lineage: Eukaryota; Viridiplantae; Streptophyta; Magnoliopsida; Vitales; Vitaceae
Description: long non-coding RNA (VVIN_LNC000011)
Source: RNAcentral